Molecule: long non-coding RNA, 711 nt
Organism: Cannabis sativa
Lineage: Eukaryota; Viridiplantae; Streptophyta; Magnoliopsida; Rosales; Cannabaceae
Exons: 2
Source: RefSeq, a predicted model, not a curated record
UUGGGUGGAGUUUGUUUUUAUUCGAUUUCACUAUGUUAUAUUUGUUGUUUCAGAUUUCUUAGUAUAAAAUAUAUAUUGGGUGAACAACAAUCUGCAAGACAUUCCAACAGCAGAAUGAAAAACUUUUGCUGUGUAUGUUCGCAUUAUAUAAGCUUACAUUGGACAAGAUCGUUUAAGAUAUGGGUUUUUGAGAGUUGAAUCGGCUUGUACUUCUUCUCAGCUCGUCGGAACCUUGUCGUAUCCGUACAUUUCGAACGACGAAAUUGGAAAGGGAUUUGCUGGGUUUUAAGUUAUUAUAAUAAUGGGUUGAACAAUAUUCCAUGAAAUUAUAUAUAAUUACUAUAAAUCUUCCUAUCGUGAUAUCAUAUAAGGCGUUUUCGUGGAUUUAUUUUGUCAUUGUCCAAUUAUAAUAUACGUGGUUUGAUAGUAGAUAUAGAUUUUUCAGGAAACAACAUUAUGUUUAUACGUGGCUCCCCACCUGUAUAAACAUUAUGUAACAAGAUAUAGAUUUUUCUGUUUUUCUGUUUUUGUUUAAAUAUGAAUUUGAAUUAAAUAUAUAUUUUUGUAUUAAAUAAAUAUAAAUUUGUUUAAAAUAAAACAAAUUAUAUUAUUAUUUGUAUUUAUGGAUUUACAUGGAGUAGUGUAUGCAAGUAUUUCAUAUACCCAAUUUUCUAAAAGUAAAUAAUAAGUAUUAUUUUAUUGUGAUUUAUA